UAGCAGCACAUAAAUAUUGGCAGGUUCCAAUCCUGUCUUGCCAAUAUUGCGUGUGCUGCUACA
RNAcentral lists this microRNA precursor (63 nucleotides) under Scyliorhinus torazame (cloudy catshark). RNAcentral describes it as "Sto-Mir-15-P2d_pre stem-loop". It matches the Rfam family "mir-16 microRNA precursor family", at positions 10 to 75 of the family's 82-position model. From Rfam's summary of the family: The hairpin precursors (represented here) are predicted based on base pairing and cross-species conservation -- their extents are not known. In this case the mature sequence is excised from the 5' arm of the hairpin. Lineage: Eukaryota; Metazoa; Chordata; Chondrichthyes; Carcharhiniformes; Scyliorhinidae. The record is from RNAcentral.